AGAAUUGCAACUGAAGUGCAAAGCAGCGCUUUUGUUUAAGGAAGUAAAACAUUUUGUGCUGCUUGCUUGUAGCAGUUUGUGUAAAAGGAUAGGAUACAAAGUGGUGAGUUGUGUCCAGGCCGUGGGCCCUCACCUCUCCCCUCCUGGGGCAGCCCGUGUUUUUCGCCACCGCCCAUACCCUCUUCCUCCCUUUACACCCCUGAGGUCUUCCGGAGCCUUCCUCAACAUUCUGCCCAUGUCCGCACUCUCAUUAAUCAACGUCAAGCUUCAACUGGAGGACAAGGCCAGUAUUCUGUGUGCUGCCCCCUCAGACGCUCAUACAUCUCAUUGUUCUGAUUCACAUGGGCAAAGAAACGGCCCAGAGUCCGACAUGAAAGGGAUGAGACUGAGAAAGAAAGAAGAGGAGGCAUUUCUGCAUCUUUCUCUCUCUUGUUCCCUCCCCUCAAUGCUCUCUCUAUCCGUCUCUCUGUUCAUUUUCAGCUAGUGUAUGGGAAGAGACGAUCGUUUUCAAGAAUACAUUUAGACAACUGAAUGAAAAGAAAUGAUAAAGAAAGAAUAUAAAUAUCAACAUUGAAGUGUAGUUUCACAAUCUUGAGC
Sinocyclocheilus rhinocerous is the source of this 597-nucleotide long non-coding RNA. RefSeq lists it as uncharacterized. NCBI's taxonomy places the organism in Eukaryota, Metazoa, Chordata, Actinopteri, Cypriniformes, Cyprinidae. The record is from RefSeq and is a predicted model, not a curated record. The transcript is spliced from 4 exons.